Molecule: transfer RNA, 72 nt
Filed under: Camelus bactrianus (Bactrian camel)
Lineage: Eukaryota; Metazoa; Chordata; Mammalia; Artiodactyla; Camelidae
Also listed under: 1 other name
Rfam family: tRNA
About the family: Transfer RNA (tRNA) molecules are approximately 80 nucleotides in length.
Source: Rfam by way of RNAcentral
GAGGGUAUAGCUUAGUGGUAGAGUGCAUGCCUACCAUGCACGAGGUUCUGGGUUCAAUCCCCAGUACCUCCC